This 437-nucleotide ribosomal RNA is filed under the name uncultured Actinomycetales bacterium. RNAcentral describes it as "bacterial SSU rRNA". It matches the Rfam family "Bacterial small subunit ribosomal RNA", at positions 342 to 791 of the family's 1533-position model. The record is from RNAcentral. Lineage: Bacteria; Bacillati; Actinomycetota; Actinomycetes; Actinomycetales.
CGGGGGGCAGCAGUGGGGAAUAUUGCGCAAUGGGCGAAAGCCUGACGCAGCAACGCCGCGUGGGGGAUGAAGGCCUUCGGGUUGUAAACCUCUUUCAGCAGGGAAGAAGCGAAAGUGACGGUACCUGCAGAAGAAGCACCGGCUAACUACGUGCCAGCAGCCGCGGUAAUACGUAGGGUGCAAGCGUUGUCCGGAUUUAUUGGGCGUAAAGAGCUCGUAGGCGGUUAGUCACGUCGGAUGUGAAAUCCCGGAGCUCAACUCCGGGCCUGCAUUCGAUACGGGCUGACUCGAGUGUUGUAGGGGAGACUGGAACUCCUGGUGUAGCGGUGAAAUGCGCAGAUAUCAGGAAGAACACCGGUGGCGAAGGCGGGUCUCUGGGCAACUACUGACGCUGAGGAGCGAAAGCGUGGGGAGCAAACAGGAUUAGAUACCCCAGU